Molecule: ribosomal RNA, 540 nt
Filed under: Orbilia georgiana
Lineage: Eukaryota; Fungi; Ascomycota; Orbiliomycetes; Orbiliales; Orbiliaceae
Description: Orbilia aff. 'nothoaprilis' partial large subunit ribosomal RNA
Rfam family: Eukaryotic large subunit ribosomal RNA
Source: RNAcentral
GCCUCAGUAACGGCGAGUGAAGCGGCAAGAGCUCAAAUUUGAAAUCUGGGGUCUUUGACCUCCGAGUUGUAAUUUGAAGAGGAUGCCUCGGUUGCGGCCCCGGCCUAAGUUCCUUGGAACAGGACGUCGCAGAGGGUGAGAAUCCCGUACGCGGCUGUGGGUUUGCUUCCAUGUGUGGCUCCCUCGAAGAGUCGAGUUGUUUGGGAAUGCAGCUCAAAAUGGGUGGUAAGUUUCAUCUAAGGCUAAAUACUGGCGAGAGACCGAUAGCGCACAAGUAGAGUGAUCGAAAGAUGAAAAGCACUUUGAAAAGAGAGUUAAACAGUACGUGAAAUUGUUGAAAGGGAAGCGCUUGCAAUCAGACUUGCGUUCGGUGGAUCAACGUUCCUUCUGGUUCGUGCACUCCGCCGUGCCGCAGGCCAGCAUCGGUUAGAGCGGCGGGACAAAGGCUCCGGGAAUGUGGCUCUCUUCGGGGAGUGUUAUAGCCCGGUGCGUAAUGCCGUCAGCCCUGACCGAGGUCCGCGCUUANGCUAGGAUGCUGGC